UACGUAGGGUGCGAGCGUUGUCCGGAAUUAUUGGGCGUAAAGAGCUCGUAGGCGGUGUGUCGCGUCGGUCGUGAAAACUUGGGGCUUAACCCUGAGCUUGCGGUCGAUACGGGCAUCACUGGAGUUCGGCAGGGGAGACUGGAAUUCCUGGUGUAGCGGUGAAAUGCGCAGAUAUCAGGAGGAACACCGGUGGCGAAGGCGGGUCUCUGGGCCGAUACUGAUGCUGAGGAGCGAAAGCGUGGGGAGCGAACAGG
RNAcentral lists this ribosomal RNA (254 nucleotides) under uncultured bacterium. RNAcentral describes it as "partial 16S ribosomal RNA". It matches the Rfam family "Bacterial small subunit ribosomal RNA", at positions 524 to 776 of the family's 1533-position model. The record is from RNAcentral.